RNAcentral lists this ribosomal RNA (326 nucleotides) under uncultured eukaryote. RNAcentral's name for it is "partial 18S ribosomal RNA". It matches the Rfam family "Eukaryotic small subunit ribosomal RNA", at positions 1470 to 1796 of the family's 1831-position model. The record is from RNAcentral.
CCCUUAGAUGUUCUGGGCUGCACGCGCGCUACACUGAUGCACUCAACGAGUUUACGACCUUGCCCGAUAGGGUUGGGUAAUCUUUUUAAAAUGCAUCGUGAUGGGGAUAGAUUAUUGCAAUUAUUAAUCUUCAACGAGGAAUUCCUAGUAAGCGCGAGUCAACAGCUCGUGCUGAUUACGUCCCUGCCCUUUGUACACACCGCCCGUCGCUCCUACCGAUUGAGUGCUCAGGUGAAUAAUUCGGACUGCAGCAAUGUUUGGAUCCCGAACGUUGCAGCGGAAAGUUUAGUGAACCUUAUCACUUAGAGGAAGGAGAAGUCGUAACA